RNAcentral lists this ribosomal RNA (293 nucleotides) under uncultured eukaryote. RNAcentral describes it as "partial 18S ribosomal RNA". It matches the Rfam family "Eukaryotic small subunit ribosomal RNA", at positions 6 to 306 of the family's 1831-position model. The record is from RNAcentral.
GGUUGAUCCUGCCAGUAGUCAUAUGCUUGUCCCAAAGAUUCAGCCAUGCAUGUCCAAGUAUAAAUCAUUGUACGGUGAAACUGCGAAUGGCUCAUUAUAUCAGUUAUAAUUUACAUGAUGAUCACUUUACUACAUGGAUAACCGUGGUAAUUCUACAGCUAAUACAUGCCAAGGGCCCGACUCAGGGAGGGCCGUAUUUAUUAGAUAAAACCAACGCCAGCAAUGGCCAGUGGCGAGUCAUGAUAACUGCGCGGAUCGCAUGGCCGUGUGCCGGCGACGCAUCAUUCAGAUUU